Molecule: ribosomal RNA, 497 nt
Filed under: uncultured bacterium
Lineage: Bacteria
Description: partial 16S ribosomal RNA
Rfam family: Bacterial small subunit ribosomal RNA
Source: RNAcentral
GAUGAACGCUGGCGGCGUGCCUAAUACAUGCAAGUCGAGCGAACAGACGAGGAGCUUGCUCCUCUGACGUUAGCGGCGGACGGGUGAGUAACACGUGGAUAACCUACCUAUAAGACUGGGAUAACUUCGGGAAACCGGAGCUAAUACCGGAUAAUAUAUUGAACCGCAUGGUUCAAUAGUGAAAGACGGUUUUGCUGUCACUUAUAGAUGGAUCCGCGCCGCAUUAGCUAGUUGGUAAGGUAACGGCUUACCAAGGCAACGAUGCGUAGCCGACCUGAGAGGGUGAUCGGCCACACUGGAACUGAGACACGGUCCAGACUCCUACGGGAGGAAGCAGUAGGGAAUCUUCCGAAAUGGGCGAAAGCCUGACGGAGCAACGCAGCGUGAGUGAUGAAGGUCUUCGGAUCGUAAAACUCUGUUAUUAGGGAAGAACAAAUGUGUAAGUAACUAUGCACGUCUUGACGGUACCUAAUCAGAAAGCCACGGCUAACUACGUG